GUAGGGAAUAUUGGUAAUCUGCGAAAGCGGGAACCAGCAACGCCGCGUGUGCGAUGAAGGCCUUCGGGUUGUAAAGCACUUUUUGAAGGGAUGAGGAAGGACAGUACCUUCAGAAUAAGCCUCGGCUAACUACGUGCCAGCAGCCGCGGUAACACGUAGGAGGCAAGCGUUAUUCGGAUUUACUGGGCGUAAAGCGCGUGCAGGCGGUUUGGUAAGUUGGAUGUGAAAGCUCCUGGCUUAACUGGGAGAGGUCGUUCAAAACUGCCAGACUAGAGGAUGAGAGAGGGAGGUGGAAUUCCGAGUGUAGUGGUGGAAUGCGUAGAUAUUCGGAGGAACACCAGUGGCGAAAGCGGCCUCCUGGCUCAUAACUGACGCUCAGACGCGAAAGCUAGGGUAGCAAACGGGAUUAGAUACCCUUGUAGUCC
RNAcentral lists this ribosomal RNA (425 nucleotides) under uncultured bacterium. RNAcentral's name for it is "partial 16S ribosomal RNA". It matches the Rfam family "Bacterial small subunit ribosomal RNA", at positions 354 to 796 of the family's 1533-position model. The record is from RNAcentral.